Populus euphratica (Euphrates poplar) is the source of this 593-nucleotide long non-coding RNA. RefSeq lists it as uncharacterized. The record is from RefSeq and is a predicted model, not a curated record. The transcript has 3 exons. Lineage: Eukaryota; Viridiplantae; Streptophyta; Magnoliopsida; Malpighiales; Salicaceae.
UGCAAUGAUGCUCUCUUGAUUUAUAUUAUUGUUUUUGGUUACAGGGAGCCGCCGCCGCCAUUUGUUUGUUGUCUACUGAGGCUUGAGGGGCAGGGCUUCUCCUUCCCUCUUCAGCAGGCUUGCGGAGCUGCAACCACCGGCUUUCUCAUACUGUUCUCUCGCCUGCAAAACUUUGGCAGCUUAGGCCCCCAAAAUUGUCAUCCGCACACUUAUUUUCGAGGGUUUCAUAGGGAAACUGGCACUUUCUCUACUCACGAGUUGGAUUUUGAUUUCUGCAACAAGAAGAUAACUGCUACCUCUGCAAUUUUGACAUAAUUCGCAAACAACACUGCCCUUUAAGUGCCUUGCGGCCCAUCGCUUUGUUUGCACUUUUAUUUUGAUGCAAUAAUGAAAUGCUGAUAGGUUUAAAAAAGUGAAGCAAGCUCCAUGUGGGAAGAUCAAAGUCUACACGCAUGCAUCAAGCUAUCUGCUUCCUUCUGCAUAUUCCAUAUUAUGUAAACAGUUAAACAUUAUUUUUCAUGGUUUUAAAAUACUUACAUUGAGCAGCAAAAACCAUCAUAUAAAUGAUAUUACCUGCAAGAGCAAAUUGAAAA